This 381-nucleotide ribosomal RNA is filed under the name uncultured bacterium. RNAcentral describes it as "bacterial SSU rRNA". It matches the Rfam family "Bacterial small subunit ribosomal RNA", at positions 524 to 903 of the family's 1533-position model. The record is from RNAcentral.
UACGAAGGGGGCUAGCGUUGCUCGGAAUGACUGGGCGUAAAGGGCGCGUAGGCGGACUGCACAGUCAGGCGUGAAAUUCCUGGGCUUAACCUGGGGACUGCGUCUGAGACGUGUGAUCUAGAGUGAGGAAGAGGGUCGUGGAAUUUCCAGUGUAGAGGUGAAAUUCGUAGAUAUUGGAAAGAACACCGGUGGCGAAGGCGGCGACCUGGUCCUUUACUGACGCUGAGGCGCGAAAGCGUGGGGGAGCAAACAGGAUUAGAUACCCUGGUAGUCCACGCUGUAAACGAUGUGUGCUUGAUGUUGGGGUGCUUAGCACUUCAGUGUCGGAGCUAACGCGGUAAGCACACCGCCUGGGGAGUACGGCCGCAAGGUUGAAACUCA